UGCAGGGUAUAGACCCGAAACCCGGUGAUCUAGCCAUGGGCAGGUUGAAGGUUGGGUAACACUAACUGGAGGACCGAACCGACUAAUGUUGAAAAAUUAGCGGAUGACUUGUGGCUGGGGGUGAAAGGCCAAUCAAACCGGGAGAUAGCUGGUUCUCCCCGAAAGCUAUUUAGGUAGCGCCUCGUGAAUUCAUCUCCGGGGGUAGAGCACUGUUUCGGCAAGGGGGUCAUCCCGACUUACCAACCCGAUGCAAACUGCGAAUACCGGAGAAUGUUAUCACGGGAGACACACGGCGGGUGCUAACGUCCGUCGUGAAGAGGGAAACAACCCAGACCGCCAGCUAAGGUCCCAAAGUCAUGGUUAAGUGGGAAACGAUGUGGGAAGGCCCAGACAGCCAGGAUGUUGGCUUAGAAGCAGCCAUCAUUUAAAGAAAGCGUAAUAGCUCACUGGUCGAGUCGGCCUGCGCGGAAGAUGUAACGGGGCUAAACCAUGCACCGAAGCUGCGGCAGCGACGCUGAUGCGUUGUUGGGUAGGGGAGCGUUCUGUAAGCCUGCGAAGGUGUGCUGUGAGGCAUGCUGGAGGUAUCAGAAGUGCGAAUGCUGACAUAAGUAACGAUAAAGCGGGUGAAAAGCCCGCUCGCCGGAAGACCAAGGGUUCCUGUCCAACGUUAAUCGGGGCAGGGUGAGUCG
This 689-nucleotide ribosomal RNA is filed under the name Escherichia coli. RNAcentral describes it as "partial 23S ribosomal RNA". It matches the Rfam family "Bacterial large subunit ribosomal RNA", at positions 701 to 1386 of the family's 2925-position model. Lineage: Bacteria; Pseudomonadati; Pseudomonadota; Gammaproteobacteria; Enterobacterales; Enterobacteriaceae. The record is from RNAcentral.